This 337-nucleotide ribosomal RNA is filed under the name uncultured bacterium. Its description in RNAcentral is "bacterial SSU rRNA". It matches the Rfam family "Bacterial small subunit ribosomal RNA", at positions 28 to 365 of the family's 1533-position model. The record is from RNAcentral.
GAUGAACGCUAGCGGCAGGCUUAAUACAUGCAAGUCGAGGGGCAGCACGGGUAGCAAUACCUGGUGGCGACCGGCAAACGGGUGCGGAACACGUACGCAACCUACCCAAAACUGAGGAAUAGCCCGGGGAAACCCGGAUUAAUACUUCGUAACAUAUUAGAGUGGCAUCACUUUAUUAUUAUAGCUCUGGCGGUUUUGGAUGGGCGUGCGCCUGAUUAGGUAGUUGGCAGGGUAACGGCCACCAAGCCUACGAUCAGUAACUGGUGUGAGAGCACGACCAGUCACACGGGCACUGAGACACGGGCCCGAUCCUAGGGAGGCAGCAGUAAGGAAUAUU